GACGAACGCUGGCGGCGUGCUUAACACAUGCAAGUCGAGCGGUAAGGCCCUUUCGGGGGUACGACGAGCGGCGAACGGGUGAGUAACACGUGGGCAACCUGCCUUUAGCUCUGGGAUAAGCCUGGGAAACUGGGUCUAAUACCGGAUAUGACCCUAUGGCGCAUGUUGUGGGGUGGAAAGCCUUGUGCGGCUAGGGAUGGGCCCGCGGCCUAUCAGCUUGUUGGUGGGGUGAUGGCCUACCAAGGCGACGACGGGUAGCCGGCCUGAGAGGGCGACCGGCCACACUGGGACUGAGACACGGCCCAGACUCCUACGGGAGGCAGCAGUGGGGAAUCUUGCGCAAUGGGCGAAAGCCUGACGCAGCGACGCCGCGUGGGGA
This 379-nucleotide ribosomal RNA is filed under the name uncultured bacterium. RNAcentral describes it as "bacterial SSU rRNA". It matches the Rfam family "Bacterial small subunit ribosomal RNA", at positions 28 to 407 of the family's 1533-position model. The record is from RNAcentral.